GUUGGUGGUGGUGAUGGUGGUACAAUGUCAUUAUUUGCAGAUAGUAGCAUAUGUGUAUCUAAAAUUCACUAUAACUAUUACAGCGCCUAAUGUAAGCGGAUUUAAAAUGCAGCAGAGUAGCCUGUUCUCAAAUGAUUACAUUACAUGUCUUAUUUGGCAGAUGGCUAUGACAGUCCUGGGAACACUGGAGCAGGCUCUUGGCCCCAGAGCUGUGCUAAAGAGGGCUUUGUCUGUUUCUUCACACAUCCUCCAGCAAUAUGUUGGUCAUCUGGUGUUGGAGUGAACCUUAGCUGGAAUAUAACCAGUUUUUCAGCUAACUGAUUUCCAUUAGAUUGUGUCAUUUCCACAAAAAAAAUCUGAUAUGAAUGAAAGAAAAAAAUAUGGGAGAAACUUGAUGGUUUAAUGGAUCUGGGAAGAGACACAAAACUUACCUGAAGCUUACUGACCUACAGUGAGAGGGCACUCGGCUCACUGGACCGUAAGUGACACUCAGCUCUCCAUGUUUACAAUAACCACCUAUUUCAGCCUCUUUGCAGGGAUUUACUUUCUUUGAAUGGACCUUGAGCGCUUCCUUGACUUCCUUUGUCCAGGGUGCUAAAGUACUGUCCAUAGUGCUGAAAUAUAGGCUUGAAAGGCAGAGUGAAGUCUGCAGCAGUGCAUUUGGUCCUGUUUCAUCACGUCAGGGAUUCUGUUGUGGUUUACUUAGAAGACUCAGUUGGAGGAGCUGGAGAAAAGUUCAAAAAACACUUUCAGUGAAGAUCUGUAUGAUUACACAACAGGCUUGAGCACAAGUGAGCUUUCUUUAGCAAGCUGACACAUUGAGAGGGAAUUUGCAUAAAAUGAGGACAGAGGAGGUAAGUAAGCAGGUAAGGUUAGCAGACGCGCUGCAAACCAUUUAUGAGCUAAGAGGCUUGUGCAACACUACUGCUCUGUGUAGUUCAACAGUCUAGCAAUGAGUGGAGAGGAGAGCGAGGUUUAAAUACUGCAGGUGAAUGACAAAUGAGACACAGGUGCGGCAGCAGGCGUCCUGGACAGCGACGCCCACUUCUGGGAGGAGGUAAGUGCAGUCAACCACACUCACGAUAGAGAGAGGAAAAUAGAGCAAGUAGAGGAGAGAAACAGAGAUGGUGGAUUCACACUGGAAAGGACACGGGGGACUGUGACAGAUGCCUGAUGACAUGAUGUCAUUUUGUUUGUCACUGGUGUUCGCUAAAUCUUUAUAAAUUCUAUCAAUUUCUCACAGUUACCUUGAAAGAACAAAAAAGUGAUUUUUGGCUGCUCCUUUAUUCACAUGGGGUUGCCACAGCGGGUAGCUCUGCAUGUCUGAUUUGGCAGAUUUUUACACAGGAUGCAACCCCAAAGGGAUUUGUGUCUCCUCCUAGCAUCGAACUGGGGAUGUUUCACUUGUUAGGCAAACGUGUAAACCACAGCAUAUGCAAUUUGGCACCGAUUAUACUGGAAAAGUGACAGUUGAUGAGGUUUUUCCUGUUUUCAAUGCAAUACUAGAAACUCUGAUUAACAAAAAUGUAACACAAGGAAUAUGAACUGCAAACACUGUCUUUUCACAUAGCAUAAAAUAAUACUAAUCAAGGUUCUGUAAGUGCAAAAUGAAAAGGAAAUCUCACCCAGAGACACACUCCGGGGCAUGAUCAACCCUGGCAGGGCCUCCUUGGAUGAGGGUGUCUAGUGAUAAUGGCCGAAACACCCGAUGAAUCCAAGGUCAACUACUGACGAUGUGUCCCACAUUUUAAUAUGAUAAUCUAGAUCAGAUCUCUAAUCCCUAAACCUAACCAAGGAAGGAAAAAAAUGGCGCAUUAGCUUGGGGAGAAGACCGAAAGUUGAGGCACACAACGAUGUGUCCCACUGGUAAAGUUUCUGGGCUUCCUUUCCUCAUAAUAGCCAUCCCUCAAGACUUUCUAAAUUUGAAACAAUGGUCUAAGGAGCCAAAGACACAAAGACAAAAGACAAAAAGUUUAUCAAGGAAGAGUUAAAAAGUGUGGUAGCUGGUUGAUAUGUAGUAAGUAGAAACGAGAGAGUUAUCCCUACCCAUUAAAAAUAAUCAGAACCACAGUUUAAACCAGUUUGACAGGUCGUGAGUUGAAAUUCAUGACCUAAUUGCCUACUGUGUGUGUGUGUGUGUGUGUGUGUGUGUGUGUGUGUGUGUGUGUGUGAGAGAGUGUGUGAGUGGGGACUGGGUAGGUGGGGUAACGAUUGGGCAUACUGGUGUAGUGUGGGGAAAAGAAUGAUUAAAUGAGCAGAUGUUAGGCGAGCUAUACAUUGGUGUGAAAAAGUGUUUGUGUCCUUCCUGACUGGAUACAUCUAGGGUACUGUUACUAGGUUACAUCAAAGGUAGAAGACAUUACUGUAUAUUUAGGGCGACAAUGCUGAUUCGAUUCACUCAUACAAGUUGUAGCAUAAAUUAACUGUGUUGUAUCACAUCUUUGGAAAGCUGAGGCCUGAUUACUGCCAAACAUGUUCAUCUGUGACUGAAUCUAAUCAGCAUCACCUUAUAAAUAAAUUGAUGUCUUCUACCGUUGAUGUAACAUAGUAACAAUACCCUAGGUGUAUGCAGUCAAGCACAGUGCGUCACUGUAAACUUUGCAACAAUACUGCAAACUAAAGAAAACUAGAAUUUGUUUUUAUGACUUGUCACUAAAAUAUAAUCCAGCAAAACAUCAUGAAUAGAUCCAAUAUCUGAUUUUAAAACUUUAAAAUAAAUGAGGACGUUGCACAUGAGAGUUAAAUUUCCUGUCUAUAAAAUUUCACAUGCUGAGUGCUCCUCGCCUUUAAAAAUAACCUUUCUCCUUAAUCUCCUGUCCUCUCUUUCUUACAUUUUCCUCCAUCUAUCUGUGUCACACAUUAACAUUUUUUUCCUGGUAAAUAUAACGACUGUACAUUUAGCUCAAAGACACAUUUUGUGAUAAAUUGUACAAAUUUCCGGACAUUUGUUAAAUUCUUAUUUAAAUAUCAUUUGAAAUUUACGUCUGCACCAUGAACACAUCACAGGUGUGAGGAAAAACGUAUGUAAUGAUGGUGUAAGCAGGCUGCAGGGUGUCUUAUUUUCUUAUUUUUGAGCAAGUGUCUCCGUGUGGAGAUACUGGAAGCAGUACCAGGCUCAGCACAGGAAAAAUUAACUCAUUCAGCAGUAAUAUGCCUUAACCUGCUUAUCAAAUUUAAUUACACAUUAACUGAAAGUGCCAGAUCGCUGCUCCAGGAGGAUUCCGGCCCUCUUUAACCCCUGAUGAUAACACAUUUUUAUCAUAGCCCAAAGCCAAAUAUUUUCCAGGGACUUUCUUUCAUAAAGUUCAUAAAGUACGAAGAUGUUGAGUUUUGAUUGUUCUUAACUUCUAAUGAUGGUUAAAGACCAAGGCAAGACCUUUUUCAUGUUUAUCUGCUCUUUCAAAGGAUAAAAGCCUACAAAACAGCCUAUUUCUACAUUUCAUGUGUUCGUAGAAGUUUCUGGAAAUGAGUCAUGAGAUAAAGUGCGGGAAAAUCAUUGGAAGCAUAACUGCUAUUUGGAGUAGUCUACUUUGUUUUAAUUCACUGUGAAUCUUUCUUGCAUGAAAUACCUCAAGGACACCUUUAUCCAGCUCCCACCCACAGAUCUGCUCUCUCCCUGUCUCACAAUACUCAAGGUAAUUUAUAUAAUACAUUGCAAAACCAUUUAUCAUUUUUAAGAGGAGACAGGAACAAGGCAGCAACAUCAAAGGGCUACAAGAUGUUUUGUGGUAAUAAAAGAACUUUGAGUCAGAUUAGUAUCUCCUGUCUUGCAAUUUUAAAAGCAAUAGGAGAAGUAAACAUGAGGCAUUCUUAUAUGCAACCAUAGCAGCUCAGGCACUGAUGCUAAUCUCUUUCAGGAAUGUGAAAGUCAAAGCGAUUCGAGUUUUGUCAAGAUUCUCACAGCUGGACUUCAGCUCAGUCUUUAUUUUGAUUUGAAAUGACAGAAUGACACUCAUAGCAUUCAUGCACUUUGUUUUACAUUUAAACUUGAAGCUUUUCUUGCUAAACAAGCAUUUAACCAGAUAAACACUGCACUCCACUGAAGCAUCUAAAAAAAAACAGAAACAGGGAAAUAAAAAACAGCCUACAUCAGUAAAUCAUAAGAAACAUAGACUAAAUUAUGAUCUUGAGUGGGCUUUUAAUACAGUUAACUGCGCAGCGACUUUUAUUAUUUGCAAGAUAACUUUAAUAAAAAUGCUCUAAAAAAGACCAACACCACAUCCUGUUCAAUUCAUGGUUCAAUUCAAUUCACAAGUGGCCUCUCUAGCCAGUUCAUCACCAUUAUGUUAUAAGAAUAUGAAAAAAAUUGCAAAAUGUUUAAUAGGAAAAAAAAAAUCAAAAUCAAAAGUUCAGAUAAUCUGAAUAUAAAUGUCCUUAAAAAUAAAUAUGAAGAAACUUUUGAUAACAAAAACCCCUAAACAAAAUAUAUAAAAACAGACUGUCUGGCUGUUUUUUCUCCUCUUCCUCUUUUGACUUAUUUCUUUUUCACUCCCAAAAGGAUAACUCCUCAUUAUUUCAAAGUGUCUGUCCUUGUUGCCAUUAGGUUUACUUAAACAGGAUUGUGUACACCACAUGCAAUGGGAGCAAGUGGAGUCAGGUUGGGCCCCUUUAGGGAGAUCAGGCCUCUUCUACUGUCACUGCAAACUUUGCCCAUUUCCACUGCUGCUUUUUGAAGUCUGUCAACCCUCUGGGGCUCCCCACUGGUCUGGGGCCCCAAGCAAUUGCCUAGUGGCAAGUGGCACCUCUGGGUAUAACACGUCUUUGAUAAAAAGUCUUUCUGUCAAUAAGAAAACCAUAAAAGGUAAGGCAGGGUUAUAUAAAGGGUAAUAAAAAACAUAAAAAGCUGUUUAUCUAUCUGUGUGUUUGUCUGUAUGUGUGAUUGGCAAGACAGUAGUUUAUGUAAGGUCAGGCUGUCAGAAGAAAAAUAAAUAAAUAAAUAAAAACACAGAGUAAUGCUCUAUGAAAUUUCGUAAGGAUGAUCUCCUUGCUGGUGAAAAAAACCAUGAUGGAAAAACUGUAGCUAUCAACAAUGUUUAUCUCGUCUUUAUACACAUUUUCACACGUUACUGCCAUCCUAGACUAACACUGUCUGAUUUUGUAAGAAUGCAGAUGUCCACGCAGCUGAAUCAGACAUUAAAUGAUCUUCAAACUCUUCAAACUGCCAGCUUCCCAAUGCAAGUUUUUGUUAUGCUCAACAGCGCCCAUGUAUGAAUAGCGCAGGUAAUUUUUCAGUGAAUUCACAGCGGGCAUUAUUUGCGCUGCCACCUGCACACCCUACCCAGGCGGCACACUAAACCAAACAGAUUAUUUCCAGCGGUGAAAAGUGUCGUGUGCUACAGAUAAAAACUUUGGAGUAUUUCCCAGCUUGACUCUUCCGACAUCAUCGUGUUCAUCUGUGAAAUGACUUAUGUCAAGAUAACAUACUGUCUCACCUGUCCAGUCUCCAGGAUGACCCGCCGGAUUUCAUUAAGGAUCGUCCAACAACCGUGAAAGUGUCAACGAAUAAUUGAUGUCGUGGGAUGGGGGUUACUGAAGCCAUAUAUCAUCUGAUCUCAACCAACUUCCCUUUUUUAUUACAGUGCAUAAUGGGCUGUUAAGCAGCAGCACAUGAAUUAAGACUGUCUGCAGAAAUGCUCACUGUAUUUGUAAUCGAUGUUCUUAAAUACACUUAAAGAUUAGGAGUGAUUUUUUCAUGUCAUAUUACCACACUUUUCAUGAAUUAAGAAGUAGAUACAUUGUCCUUUUAGAUAAUCAUCAUGUUUCAGCUUUUUUCCUACAUCAGUUUUUUCUGCGACUCCUUAGGUAAAUUGCCUACUCAGUCACAACAUAUAUGUAAAGCAGCUGUUUAUACUUCGAAAUGCCAUCCACGGUUGCAGUCCUCCGGUGCAAGGUCUUUUUCUGCUGUGCCAGCAUCCCUGAGACUGCCAUUAAAUGGAGCUGAGCUGCUGGAAAUUAUCUCCUCCUUCUGCUGAUGAACUAAUUGUACUCUUAUUCUGUAAUAACACCAUUAAAAUGUAAUACA
Long non-coding RNA from Oreochromis niloticus (Nile tilapia), 6022 nucleotides. RefSeq lists it as uncharacterized. The record is from RefSeq and is a predicted model, not a curated record. The transcript is spliced from 4 exons. Lineage: Eukaryota; Metazoa; Chordata; Actinopteri; Cichliformes; Cichlidae.